This 590-nucleotide ribosomal RNA is filed under the name uncultured rumen bacterium. RNAcentral describes it as "bacterial SSU rRNA". It matches the Rfam family "Bacterial small subunit ribosomal RNA", at positions 45 to 641 of the family's 1533-position model. The record is from RNAcentral.
GGCCUAACACAUGCAAGUCGAGGGGUAGUAUGAGAGUAGCUUGCUACUCUUGAUGGCGACCGGCGCACGGGUGCGUAACACGUAUCCAAUCUACCCAUGGUCUCCGGGAUAGCCUUUCGAAAGAAAGAUUAAUACCGGAUGGUCUGUGAUUGAGACAUCUCGACCACAGUAAAGAUUUAUCGGCGAUGGAUGAGGAUGCGUCCGAUUAGGUAGUAGGCGGGGCAACGGCCCACCUAGCCUACGAUCGGUAGGGGUUCUGAGAGGAAGGUCCCCCACAUUGGAACUGAGACACGGUCCAAACUCCUACGGGAGGCAGCAGUGAGGAAUAUUGGUCAAUGGUUGGAAAUACCGAACCAGCCAAGUAGCGUGAGGGAUGACUGCCCUAUGGGUUGUAACCUCUUUUGUUUGGGAUAAAGUGUCCUACGUGUAGGACUCUGUAUGUACCAUACGAUAAGCAUCGGCUAAUUCCGUGCCAGCAGCCGCGGUAUACGGAGAUGCGAGCGUAUCCGGAUUUUUGGUUUAAAGGGAGCGUAGCGGCUGUAAGUCAGCGGUAAAUGUCAUUGCCCACAUGGCAUGCCGUGAUACUGGUG